Unclassified non-coding RNA from Cavia porcellus (domestic guinea pig), 88 nucleotides. Its record names the gene Vault. It matches the Rfam family "Vault RNA". From Rfam's summary of the family: This family of RNAs are found as part of the enigmatic vault ribonucleoprotein complex. The record is from Ensembl. Lineage: Eukaryota; Metazoa; Chordata; Mammalia; Rodentia; Caviidae.
GGGCUGGCUUUAGCCCAGCGGUUCCUUCCAGUCUGGCUUCCCAAGGGGUCCCGUGGUUCGAGAACGGCGGGCGCUCUCCAGUCCUUUA